GCCCGGGUGGCGAAAUUGGUAGACGCAAGGGACUUAAAAUCCCUCGGUGGCAACACCGUGCCGGUUCGACUCCGGCCCCGGGCA
Molecule: transfer RNA, 84 nt
Filed under: Pleionea mediterranea
Lineage: Bacteria; Pseudomonadati; Pseudomonadota; Gammaproteobacteria; Oceanospirillales; Pleioneaceae
Description: Alcanivoracaceae bacterium MOLA 115 tRNA
Rfam family: tRNA
About the family: Transfer RNA (tRNA) molecules are approximately 80 nucleotides in length. Their secondary structure includes four short double-helical elements and three loops (D, anti-codon, and T loops).
Source: Rfam by way of RNAcentral